UUAGUUCCGUUUUUUAGUUAAUAGAAAAUCCAGAAAAUUGUCCCAAAAACACUGUGUUUUCCAAUGGAGUUUACAAAAUUCGAAUUUAUUGUAUAAGAUUCUGACAUUUGGUAUCAGAUCCUCAAUUCUCCAAACCGUGUGGGAGCUAUGGUGGAAGGAACUAGACAACAAAUAUUAGAUACUAAGUUAGCCCAGCACAAUGAAGCAAUGGGUGAACUUGCGACCAAUUGCCGAGCACUCAACGAAACUUAGAUAGGAAUCAGAGGUGCCCUCAAGCUGAUUCUAGAUCAACUGACGACAUUAGAAAAAGGGAACAAUCGAGGUCCAGACCCAGCUCAACCAAUAGGAGAUGGGUUGCUUCAUUUACCACUAGCAGAUGCUAAAUUCAACAGGCCACAAGGAUUU
RNAcentral lists this long non-coding RNA (405 nucleotides) under Nicotiana benthamiana. RNAcentral describes it as "long non-coding RNA (NBEN_LNC011612)". The record is from RNAcentral. Lineage: Eukaryota; Viridiplantae; Streptophyta; Magnoliopsida; Solanales; Solanaceae.